Molecule: ribosomal RNA, 706 nt
Filed under: Escherichia coli
Lineage: Bacteria; Pseudomonadati; Pseudomonadota; Gammaproteobacteria; Enterobacterales; Enterobacteriaceae
Description: partial 23S ribosomal RNA
Rfam family: Bacterial large subunit ribosomal RNA
Source: RNAcentral
CUGAAUCCAUAGGUUAAUGAGGCGAACCGGGGGAACUGAAACAUCUAAGUACCCCGAGGAAAAGAAAUCAACCGAGAUUCCCCCAGUAGCGGCGAGCGAACGGGGAGCAGCCCAGAGCCUGAAUCAGUAUGUGUGUUAGUGGAAGCGUCUGGAAAGGCGCGCGAUACAGGGUGACAGCCCCGUACACAAAAAUGCACAUGCUGUGAGCUCGAUGAGUAGGGCGGGACACGUGGUAUCCUGUCUGAAUAUGGGGGGACCAUCCUCCAAGGCUAAAUACUCCUGACUGACCGAUAGUGAACCAGUACCGUGAGGGAAAGGCGAAAAGAACCCCGGCGAGGGGAGUGAAAAAGAACCUGAAACCGUGUACGUACAAGCAGUGGGAGCACGCUUAGGCGUGUGACUGCGUACCUUUUGUAUAAUGGGUCAGCGACUUAUAUUCUGUAGCAAGGUUAACCGAAUAGGGGAGCCGAAGGGAAACCGAGUCUUAACUGGGCGUUAAGUUGCAGGGUAUAGACCCGAAACCCGGUGAUCUAGCCAUGGGCAGGUUGAAGGUUGGGUAACACUAACUGGAGGACCGAACCGACUAAUGUUGAAAAAUUAGCGGAUGACUUGUGGCUGGGGGUGAAAGGCCAAUCAAACCGGGAGAUAGCUGGUUCUCCCCGAAAGCUAUUUAGGUAGCGCCUCGUGAAUUCAUCUCCGGGGGUAG